GACGUAGGGCGCGAGCGUUGUCCGGAAUUAUUGGGCGUAAAGAGCUCGUAGGCGGUGUGUCGCGUCGGCCGUGAAAACCUGCAGCUUAACUGUGGGCUUGCGGUCGAUACGGGCAUCACUGGAGUUCGGCAGGGGAGACUGGAAUUCCUGGUGUAGCGGUGAAAUGCGCAGAUAUCAGGAGGAACACCGGUGGCGAAGGCGGAUCUCUGGGCCUUGCCUGACGCUGAGGCGCGAAAGCUAGGGGAGCGAACAGG
This 254-nucleotide ribosomal RNA is filed under the name uncultured bacterium. RNAcentral's name for it is "partial 16S ribosomal RNA". It matches the Rfam family "Bacterial small subunit ribosomal RNA", at positions 524 to 776 of the family's 1533-position model. The record is from RNAcentral.